AUGCUUGGUGUGAAUUGCAGAAUCCCGUGAACCAUCGAGUCUUUGAACGCAAGUUGCGCCCCAAGCCAUUAGGCCGAGGGCACAUCUGCCUGGGUGUCACGUAUCGUCGCCCCUCCCCACCCCUCUUCGCGGAGUGCGGGGCGAAAAAUGGCCUCCCGUGCGCAACUCGCUCGCGGUUGGCCCAAACAUGAGUCCCAGGCGACCAGAGCGCCGCGACGAUCGGUGGUGUGUCCUUAUGCUCGUCGCGCGUCGCGCGCGCCGGUCGCCCUUAGGGAUGCCUCGAGACCCUUAAGCGUCCCCUCGAAGACGCUCGCAUCGCGACCCCAGGUCAGGUGGGACUACCCGCUGAGUUUAAGCAUAUCAAUAAGCGGAGGAAAAGAAACUUACCAGGAUUCCCUUAGUAACGGCGAGCGAACCGGGAAGAGCCCAGCUUGAAAAUCGGGCGCCCUCGGCGUCCGAAUUGUAGUCUGGCG
This 473-nucleotide ribosomal RNA is filed under the name Murraya paniculata. RNAcentral's name for it is "eukaryotic LSU rRNA". The stretch from base 319 to 473 matches the Rfam family "Eukaryotic large subunit ribosomal RNA", at positions 1 to 155 of the family's 3401-position model. Lineage: Eukaryota; Viridiplantae; Streptophyta; Magnoliopsida; Sapindales; Rutaceae. The record is from RNAcentral.